Long non-coding RNA from Dermacentor albipictus, 498 nucleotides. RefSeq lists it as uncharacterized. Lineage: Eukaryota; Metazoa; Arthropoda; Arachnida; Ixodida; Ixodidae. The record is from RefSeq and is a predicted model, not a curated record.
AUUUCAGUCCCCGAAACGUGAAACUACACGAGGCAUGUAUGUUUUAUUGCCGUUGAUAUCUCUACUAUUUUGUGUGUUCCUUGCAUCAGCCGCUCCAACCAGCUGUGUACCCAAAACAUGCGUUUCUAUGGGUUAUGUGUGCGCACCAUUCAAGUUCUGUCAAGAAAAGGUAUCUGUGUGCCGAAAUAGCUGUAAAAGGCGGUCUCUUUGCUGCAAACAAAAAAAAAUGAAGUCCUGCUCCUCGGCUGGAGGAACUUGUAAAAGAAGAUGCGAAGUUGAAAACAACACGAUCAAAUGCCCUGGACGACUGAAGUGCUGUGUUCAUUUGGAGCGCUAAGCCAACGCUGAGCAGCCAUUGCCGCAACUUGCCAACACGCUAGUUGCUGUAGUUUGCUGGCUUGACAAACGAACGACGACCUCAAGAGUCCCCAUCCAUAUCCUUCUACCCAUUUUGUGCUUCGAAUAAAAAGUGACACGUAUAGAUAAAGAGCAGUAAAG